GAGGGACAAUCUGUAGACACCGAAUUUUGUCACCCCCCGGUAAUGAUGACAAUAUGAAGGAUUAGAAAAAGAUGCUAUCUAAUAGCCCCCAACUGUUAGUUCUGGCGAUUAGAGAGAGUUAGUUUUCUUGUAUACCCCAAGAUACCCCCCAUUUGUGCUUUACCUAAACUACCCCUUUCUUUACCAUUCUCACCUUCAUCCUCUCAAAAUCGUGAAUUACAGGAGCGGAGCCCUAAACUAGUUGAAGCCGAUUAGGAAUCGACUGAUGAAGAAUUGCUCUUUCAUAAUCGUGAUGAACCCUAAGUGCGAUUGAAUCCAUUUGAAGGAGAAGGAGAAGAAUCGCUGAAUCGCCCUUUGAAAACCGUGAGGAACCCUUCAAGUUCUUGCGAUUUGGUGCCCAUACUCUGUAGAUAAAUGUCUAUUUCAAGUGUCAGUUGCAGCAAGUGUGAUGCAUUGAAGUACAAAUGUGUAAGGUGUACAUGCAAUCGAAAAGCUGUCAUUAGGGUCUCUUAGACAAAUGAGAAUCCAAAUAGACUUUUUAUAGCUGUCCAGACUUCAAUGGAUGUAAAUUUUUUGCUUGGUGUGACCCCAUUAAUGCCCCAAUCAUUGAUUUAUCGAACAAAGAAGUACCAGCAAACACCCCUAUCUGUAACUUGCUUGAGUUGCAAGCGGAGGUGCAAGGCUUGGUAGAAAAGGUCCUGGCUUGCAAGUCGGGAUUCAUGAGCUACGGGAGGAGUUGUGACUCUUGCGAGAGAUCGUACAAGGGUUGCAACAAGAGUUUGGAAUUAAGAAGUUUAGAUUGAAUGAGAUUGAGAAGUUGACAACAUCAAUCAAGCUCGUGUGUCAAUUUGUAGUUGUUUUCUUUGUGGGAGUUCUUGUAACUAUUUAUAUGGGUAAAAUAAUGUGACAAUAUUGGAGUACUUGUAACCUAACUAUUUUGUAUGGGUAAAAUAGUGUGAUAGUAUUGGAGUACUUGUAACAAUUCCUCUUUAAUGAAUUGCUUCUUUGUUACCUGAA
This is a long non-coding RNA of Macadamia integrifolia, 1017 nucleotides long. RefSeq lists it as uncharacterized. The record is from RefSeq and is a predicted model, not a curated record. NCBI's taxonomy places the organism in Eukaryota, Viridiplantae, Streptophyta, Magnoliopsida, Proteales, Proteaceae. The transcript has 2 exons.